RNAcentral lists this ribosomal RNA (412 nucleotides) under uncultured Streptococcus sp. RNAcentral's name for it is "bacterial SSU rRNA". It matches the Rfam family "Bacterial small subunit ribosomal RNA", at positions 967 to 1382 of the family's 1533-position model. The record is from RNAcentral. Lineage: Bacteria; Bacillati; Bacillota; Bacilli; Lactobacillales; Streptococcaceae.
AACCUUACCAGGUCUUGACAUCCCGAUGCUAUUUCUAGAGAUAGAAGUUACUUCGGUACAUCGGUGACAGGUGGUGCAUGGUUGUCGUCAGCUCGUGUCGUGAGAUGUUGGGUUAAGUCCCGCAACGAGCGCAACCCCUAUUGUUAGUUGCCAUCAUUCAGUUGGGCACUCUAGCGAGACUGCCGGUAAUAAACCGGAGGAAGUGGGGAUGACGUCAAAUCAUCAUGCCCCUUAUGACCUGGGCUACACACGUGCUACAAUGGUUGGUACAACGAGUUGCGAGUCGGUGACGGCGAGCUAAUCUCUUAAAGCCAAUCUCAGUUCGGAUUGUAGGCUGCAACUCGCCUACAUGAAGUCGGAAUCGCUAGUAAUCGCGGAUCAGCACGCCGCGGUGAAUACGUUCCCGGGCCUU